CUUUUAUCAAAACAAAGCAUGUUUAGUGCUCUCUGUCUCACUGUCUUUUAGAUGCCAGACCUUAGAUUUUAUGAUGACUCCUCAACCGUUUAGAUCUCGGUUAUCUCAGAGGGAUCAUCAGCUUUUUAAGAAAAUUUUGAGAGAAAAGCAAGUGAAGAAAAGAGUAGUCAGUGCCCAACAUCACGGAUCUCUCACUGAACACACCAUGCCUGGUAUUCUCUCACAGUGAUGUCACCAUUUCUACCUGCCAUGUAUCGGCGAAGGUUGGGACUCGACUGGUGUUUGAUCACUAUGGGAAAAUCAUCCAGAAAACCCCCUACCCCCACCCCAGAGGGAUGACAGUCAGUGUGAAGCAGUUAUUUUCUACGCUACCUGUGCACCAUAAAGAAUUUCAAAGGAAUAUUAAGAAGCCUCCAAUUUACAGUCUAAAACAUGUACGCGGUGGCCCUGAGCUGUUGUGUAAAUGGACUCACUGCCCUGAGGCCACCAUGCUGCAAGGAAGCCCAAGCUAACCCUAGGAUGUGCCCUGAGACGACAUGAAGACGCAUCCCCAGCCAGCCUUCCACUACCCCAUCCUUCACUGCCCCAUUCUCACCCCCGCCCACCUCCUUACUCCCUCCACCCCUCCACCUGCCUCCAGCCAGAAUUGCACAGCCAACUACUUCCAGAAUCGCUGGUCCAAAGAAAUCACGACAGGCGCUAAGUUUGGGGCAAUCCAUUUAAUGCUACUAAGUUGUGGGAUGGUUUGUUUGAGCAGCCCCAGAUAACAAACAUUCCUUGAGGUCACACGCUAACCAAGCUGUGAUUCGAACACUGCCUCUCAAAUUCACGAGCAAAAGAGGGGGAAUUCUGUUUAAAAUGCCAAAAAGAACUCUUUCUUGCUUUUAUUAUUUUUAAUUUAUGUAUAAUAAUUGUAUGUUUAUAUAAUAAUUGUAAUAAUUUACGGGAUACAGGUGAUAUUUCAAUAUAUGUAUACAAUGUGUAAUGAUCACAUCAGGGUGAUUAGCGGAUUCAUUUCCUCAGUUAUCAUUUCUUUGUGUUGGGAACAUUCAAAAUCUGCUCUUCUACCUAUUUGAAUAUAGAAAAUAAAUUGUUUUGUUUUGUUUUUGAG
This 1111-nucleotide long non-coding RNA is filed under the name Homo sapiens (human). RNAcentral's name for it is "non-protein coding lnc-CASTOR3-4:2". Lineage: Eukaryota; Metazoa; Chordata; Mammalia; Primates; Hominidae. The record is from RNAcentral.